Syngnathus typhle (broad-nosed pipefish) is the source of this 545-nucleotide long non-coding RNA. RefSeq lists it as uncharacterized. Lineage: Eukaryota; Metazoa; Chordata; Actinopteri; Syngnathiformes; Syngnathidae. The transcript has 2 exons. The record is from RefSeq and is a predicted model, not a curated record.
UCUCGACCGAAACGUACCUGCAGUACCAGUCGUCCUGUACCAGGUAUUUUUGCUUCUCCAGCUUUAUUAAGACAAUCUCACCCAGGUUCUUCUGCACCUCCACUGGGUAGAACUCCACCUGUGAACAAAAGGCUUUCAGAGGAAAUCAUCCUUUGAUCAAAGAAGAAUUCCUGGCAAGUACUGAACCGUUUAAUAAGUUACUUUGUGCGGAUCAAAAAAAGGAGUGCCCCCUAAAAAAAUAAGAUGGUUAUUUGAAAAGGCAAUGUUUCUGGAAUGUAACAUGACGGCAGCAGAUGUUUCCGACUUGGUUCAUACUCCAUAAAAGGUCCUUUUGAAAAUAUGAUGUUGCAGAUUGUCUGAAAAUGCCACCUACCGAUCCCUGCUCAAAGUCAUUGUGCCAAAGUUUGUCCAGCUGAGUCUUCUGGCUGCAGCCCUCAGUGCCCACCAGUGUUACGGCGAUGGAGUUAUCAGUCCCCGACUUGCCUUGAGUUCCCGUCGCCACACGCACGACAUACGCCAUUGUUGCCACGCUGGAUGGAAACGCU